Long non-coding RNA from Suricata suricatta (meerkat), 2961 nucleotides. RefSeq lists it as uncharacterized. The record is from RefSeq and is a predicted model, not a curated record. The transcript has 2 exons. NCBI's taxonomy places the organism in Eukaryota, Metazoa, Chordata, Mammalia, Carnivora, Herpestidae.
UGGCACAGCCGCCGGCCCAGCUGCCAGCGGCGCCCGGACAGCUCGUGCACCAGGCUCAGGGGCAUGACCAGAGCUGCCACCAGCACAUCCGAGAUGGCCAUGGACGCCACUAGGUUGUGCGGAACGCGGUGGAAGGUGCGCACGCGGAGAAUGGUGGCCAGCACCAGCAGGUUCCAGGAGAAGGUCGCGGCCACCAGAAAGCCCAGCAAGGCAUGGACAUCUGAACAAAUAUGUAAUUACUACAAAUAAAAAUAUUACUGCAAGAUGCAAGGUGAAAGCAGUCAUGUUUCUCCGGAUGUAAGCCCCCCUCGGGCAUGCUUUACCUCACCGACCCCAACUUCCCGAAGGCUCCCCUCUGAGCACCAAAGAAAUGAAGAGCACUGAUGACACCAAGUCAUGUAAGACAGAUGAGAGGAUCGCAGGGCACCAAGGAAGAAAACGAAGACAAGCCUAUGGGGAAGGGAAAUCUUGACAUGGCCCCGCUCAAGUCCCUGCAAAGCCUCUCUAUUUUAUUUGCAGUUUUGGAUCUUCACUCGACAUCAAGAAGGCUGUAAUUAAUCAUUUUAUAUCUGAAAAUAUCUGAUUUGGGAAAUAAUUAACCAUUCCCAGGAUGGGUUCCAAGAAGGUGCUGCCCAGAACAGACUGUGGCCAACAGGCAAACACCAAUGGGUUGAGUUUCAAGUGCACUGAUCUCUGAUGACUCUUUCUGUAAAUACCCCUGUUAAAGAGGGUAUAAAUGAAGCUGCUUUCUCUGAUUCUAAUGAACGUGUAGAUGAGUGGAAUAAAAUCCAUAAAUUACAAAGCUUAACAUUCAGUGUUUAUGAAUCCUCCAAUAUGUUGAAGAUUUUCCAUAGCAAUGGAACAUGGAACUCAACACCAUCUGCAUAUUGGUCUAAUUUUUUUGUCCUUCUGUGGAAUUUCUCAGAGCUGCUACACAUAGGCAAGUAGGUUGAGCAAAUUCUCCCACUUAGAAACAUGUUAGAAUUAUCUAGAACUCUGUUAAAUCACUCAAUAAUUGAAGGGGGUUCCCUGGGCCAAGGAUUCUGAAAGUAAAUUGCUUUUGUGUUCAUGGAGGUUGCUCUCUGCUUUUCACGGGCACUUUCCUUCCUCUCCACCGUGAGGGAGCAGACUCUUCUGAGUACGUGAGCAACACGGGGGCAAGAUGAACAGCCAUGCCGUCAACCCUGACCCCUCCGGUGAGGUUUUCUUAUGUUACGAAUGAAACAGCAGAAAGUCACUGCCUCCCAAUCGAAGGACACCAGCUGCUUCUUUCCUGUGAUUUUUCUUCUGAUUCAUCCUAUAACCUCCGUGCUCCCAACUGGUAAGCCACUUCCCGGGGUCUCUGUCUUUGAAGGAGCAGCAGGUGCGCAAGUAAAGAAGAUGAACCGAUUUAAACAGAGUUCAGAGUUACUUGUAAGCCUUGCCUAGGAAACAGAGGGUAGCAUUAGAACUUUGAUGUCACUGGGUUUUGAAUAUCUUAGAAAAUGUGUCUGGGACAGUCUAGGACUGUCUGGGAAUAGAAAGCAUAAACAUAGAGCGAUACUUCUUUAGAUUCAUUGUCCUUGGGUUUGUUCUAAGCUUCAGGUCCAAAAUACUCGUUCCUGUUAGGAAAUGGGGGGAAAAGGUAUUUGACUCACUUAAAGAGCCACAUACUUAAUUUUGUGGCCAGUUUCUCUUUGUGGACAUGUUGUUCAUAAAAACAGUUAUCACAAGUUGAAAUGUCUGGGGAUUUUUGGUAAUCAAAAUGGUUAUUAUUAAUAUCCUGGGGAAAUGUCCCUAAAUUCCCUAUAUUCAUCUUGACAGACACUGAAUUAUUUUCACUUCUUUUAGGUUAGUGCUGUUCUUUUUUCCAUGCAUGCCACUAGACAAUAGGCAUUCAUAUUCAAUACGCUAUGAACAAAUUUCACCAAGUCUUUACUCAUUUUCACCUGUGCUGUGCUAAUAAGUCUCAAACAGCUCGGUCAGGUCUCAGCAGCUGGCACUGUGCCCCCACUGAGCAUCACAAACCGAAAAAUGAUUAUUUGGGGAGGCUUCAUAAUUAUACUAAGAUGAAAACGUUGGCAGCCAGGAGAUACAUAUUUUUCAAGAUUUGAGAGAAAAUUUAAUGAAAGUGCCACAAACAUAUUACUUAGGAUGAUGAUUUGCACUUAAUAUGAGGCCCUUUCCUCUCUGGAUUUCAAAGUCUGGACUAAUUAAUUAGCCCUAAUCUCCCUGUUUUCCUGAUGGUCAAGCAUUCAGACAGACCCCGGAGAGCACAGAGUUAUCAGAGUGAGGCAGAAAGCGUGCCGACCGGGGCUAUGAGGCUGGUGGCUUAGUUUCCACCUGUUGGGUAUCAGUCUUUGUUUCUUCCACUUUUAAGUUUGUAGCCCUGGAGCCCUGCCCCCUUCCCCGCCCCCACCCCGAGUCAGCAAACCAAGACCCAAAGGCUAAAUCUGGCCCACUGCCUGUUUUGGCAAAUAAAGUUCUAUUGGAACACAACCUCGCUCAUUGGUAAGCACACUGUCUCUGGUGCUUUCGCGCUGCAGCAGUUACCGUAAGAAAUCAAAACAGACUCUGUGGAUCAUAAGACCUGAAAUAUUUUCUCCCUGGCCUAUCACAAAAAAGACUUUGCUGACCCAAGACCUAAACUUUCUGAACAUUUCUCCAUCUGUAAAAUAAAACUCAUCAGCCGAUAACAUAGCAACUUCAUGAGAAGAGUUCAGUUUUAAAUUUGCACAAUGAAGACUGUCUUUAAUGGUGCCUCAGAACCCGGGCAAAGAGUCCUUAGCAGUGAUAUUAAUUCAUUCAAAGGGCAGCCAUCUAUUCUUUAAAUAUGUGUCCACUGACCGCUUGACAUCAGGCAUCAUAGUAAACAGUGGGGGAGAUCCACAUUGAAGGAAAUAAGACUGGUUUCAGUUAGCAGUUCAGGGAUUAUGUGGGGAAGGGGUAUGCGAUGAAGAAGUAUUUCAAAAUAAAGUCUUU